CCUCUUCUGUUUCUUUCUUUUCGACCCCCAACGCGACUGUCUUCUUUUCCUUUUCUCCUUAUUACUCUUCUCUAUUCCUUUUUCUUUCACCCUCAUCGCCGUUUCCUUUGAGCACGCCCAGAACACCCGAAGGUUUGCUUCCCGAUUCCGUGUCUACAACGCACUCCCACGUUGGCUUUUCACCAGCGCGCGAUGCUACGCAAGCAAGGUGCGGUUCCAUGUCUCGCGAUGGCCCCGACCUCUUCAUAUCUUCAGGCCGUGAAGUCCGACGAGCUGAGAGAUUUGCUGAGGCUUCUUCUCAGACGCAGAUCACCUGUGACGACGUCUUCGGCUGUUCUUGGCCAAAGACGGACUGCGAGGGAUUGAUUGCUAUUUGUCAUAGUGGCCGGGGAGGCUUUCAUAUUGAUAUGACAGGAUAGCAAAUUUCUCAAGAGGCAGAUGUGCCUAUUAGCUUGCAUCACAAUGCGACUUUGUCUGGAAGGUAGGACCAUUUGUUGCGCAAAAUACAUGGACUUGUGAAUUCUGACCAGGGUAAAUAGGAGAGAUGUCUUACUCUCAAAUCUAUUGAGACCCCGGAAGGUCUUACCUUGGAUGGAUUGGUUCUUUGCCAUGAACUAACAUCACAAAGUAUGAGGAAAGAACAAAAAGAGAGAGCAUUGAGGUGCUUGGGGAGUGUUUGAGCAUGUAUGUGUGUACAUGAGUGAAGAGUAAAGAAGUGAGUAACUUUUAGCUAAAUCUUCACAGUGCCAUGCUAACAUCUUCUCUGUUUGCUAUUCAUGCUUUGAGAUUGUAAAGAAUUUCGGUCCUCGUUUAAUCAGUGGUAAACUGUCAUUGUCCGUCCUUGCACAUGAGUCCUAUAUUAAACUAAAUCAAUACUGAAGUGUGUUUGCCAAAUUUGAGUGCAACCGUGUUGAUUCUGCUGUUCAUAUGCUUAUUGUUGGAUCGAACUUGUUAUACUCUUCUUGUUGGAUUAGACUUGUCAUCCUUUUCUGCUAGUGCUUACAAUGUUUUGUUUACUGGACAUGUCUCCCUUGUGAAUGAGCAAUGGAGUCUGCUGAAAUCUGCUGAAUAUGCUGCCAAGAGCUUGUCUCUCAAAAUAGAAGCUCAGAGAAGCUCGCCGUCUGCACUUGACAAGGUCUCAAGACCUUGCGUCAAGAUCCUUUCAUCAUCUACAAUUACUUUGUCGACAAUGACGAAAUCAGAAGGUCAUCUCAAGAUCUAGGGAUGCUUCCUCCAUCUGCCCGUCCAUUGAGAUCGAGGUGAUAUCUCAAAGGCCAUGGCUAUGGCUAGAUUAGGUCACCAAUUGUGGUGCCGAGACCUUACAGAGAUUUGGCGGCGAGAGAAGAGAUAGAGUAAGGGAGAGAGUAUUUUCGUUUUGUAAAUAGAGAAAGCAAAGAUAGUUGUGGAUGACAUGACAGAGAUAGCAGCGAGAUGUGGAGGACUAACGGUGAUUACCGGUGGCCACAAUGGCCAAAGACGGUAGCUAAUGGUGAAGAGAGGGUUGGUUGAGUAGGAAGACUUGACGAAGAUUAUUAGACAGUGUGAUGAGUACGCUGAUAAGUGCAAAAAUUAUACGUCCAUGUUUCCUUUUUGAUUUUGUCCCCUUUUUGUGUUGGUUAACUUUGUAUCUCCGUUAAAUGACAUGGCAAUGAAUAAA
Long non-coding RNA from Eucalyptus grandis, 1657 nucleotides. RefSeq lists it as uncharacterized. The record is from RefSeq and is a predicted model, not a curated record. The transcript is spliced from 3 exons. Lineage: Eukaryota; Viridiplantae; Streptophyta; Magnoliopsida; Myrtales; Myrtaceae.